UGGGCAUGGAGGUGAUUAUAUGGAAUAUAUGCAGGGUAGUGGUGGGUCCUUGGGACGUUUGCGCUGGGUUCGUGGGGCACUGGUGCGGAGCACUGUUCUUUGUAGGUUGGCGUCGGUUGCGGUGCAGGUGUGGGUUGGAGCGCUGAUUAUUGAGGAGGUGCUUCCGCGGGUUGCUCAGGGAUUCCAGUUGUUUAUCAUUGAUGAUCGGCGCCUGUUUUUUGCGUUUGUAUAUUUGUGGGGUUUCUGCUGUGGGGAGGUCUUCGGUAGAGUGCACUGGUUUGGUUGUCCUUGAAUCUUCCCAAUGGAUACUAGUGUCAUCUUCAUGCGCUCGUUUGGCCAGAGCUGUUGUUAGUUUGGCAGUAGUAAUAUCUCUUUUAUGCUCUUUGGGCCUAUCCUCCAGGUUCCUUGCUGUUGCUCCCACGUAGAAUUCUUCUGUCCCUCUUUGCUGGUC
RNAcentral lists this long non-coding RNA (451 nucleotides) under Androctonus crassicauda. Lineage: Eukaryota; Metazoa; Arthropoda; Arachnida; Scorpiones; Buthidae. The record is from RNAcentral.